GGCCGUCUGGCGAAAUGGCAUCGCGUCUGACUACGAAUCAGGAGAUUGUAGGUUCGACCCCUACGUCGGUCA
RNAcentral lists this transfer RNA (72 nucleotides) under Ephemerocybe angulata. Its description in RNAcentral is "Coprinellus angulatus tRNA". It matches the Rfam family "tRNA". From Rfam's summary of the family: Transfer RNA (tRNA) molecules are approximately 80 nucleotides in length. Their secondary structure includes four short double-helical elements and three loops (D, anti-codon, and T loops). RNAcentral also lists the same sequence under 2 other names. The record is from Rfam by way of RNAcentral. Lineage: Eukaryota; Fungi; Basidiomycota; Agaricomycetes; Agaricales; Psathyrellaceae.